ACGUAACUUAAUCCACCCUAGGGUGGUUGGUGCCUUCCUCACAUUUAAAGGGUGCUAUCCAAAAUAGACACAAAAGGGCGAUGUUUUUCAGUGUUUUAUCAAUUUGACUCAUUAUUCAUACCACUAGAUUGGAUAGUCUUCAUAUUGCAGGGCACUUAUAUGCUUACACCUUAUGAUAGGGUAGCCAGAUCCCCAAUCCAAUUCGUGCUUGUUGAAAAGGUCUUUUGAUUACCUAUCCAACGAUAUGUCGCAUGAGAGAUCCGGACAACGGUUUCAUCAAAAUAUCUGAGAUCCGGCCUCCAAAAAGUGCAUAAAUGACACUUAAGUGCUUAUAACUUUUGAUAGGGUUGUCAGAUCUUCAAUGUCUUGGACGCGUUGGAAAGGUCUUUCAAAUACCUUUCUGAAAAUGUAUAACAUGACA
This is a long non-coding RNA of Culex pipiens pallens (northern house mosquito), 421 nucleotides long. RefSeq lists it as uncharacterized. The transcript has 2 exons. NCBI's taxonomy places the organism in Eukaryota, Metazoa, Arthropoda, Insecta, Diptera, Culicidae. The record is from RefSeq and is a predicted model, not a curated record.